RNAcentral lists this ribosomal RNA (537 nucleotides) under uncultured Chloroflexota bacterium. RNAcentral describes it as "bacterial SSU rRNA". It matches the Rfam family "Bacterial small subunit ribosomal RNA", at positions 343 to 896 of the family's 1533-position model. The record is from RNAcentral. Lineage: Bacteria; Bacillati; Chloroflexota.
GGGUGGCUGCAGUGAGGAAUAUUGCCCAAUGGAGGAAACUCUGAGGCAGCAACGCCGCGUGAACGAUGACGGCCUUCGGGUUGUAAAGUUCUUUUCUCAGGGACGAUGAUGACGGUACCUGAGGAAUAAGUCCCGGCUAACUACGUGCCAGCAGCCGCGGUAAAACGUAGGGGACGAGCGUUAUCCGGAUUUACUGGGCGUAAAGCGCCCGUAGGCGGCUCGAUAAGUUGGACGUGAAGGCUCCCGGCUUAACUGGGAGAGGCCGUUCAAAACUGUGGGGCUAGAGUGAGGCAGAGGAGCGCGGAAUUCCCGGUGUAGUGGUGGAAUGCGUAGAUAUCGGGAGGAACACCAGUGGCGAAAGCGGCGCUCUGGGCCUAAACUGACGCUGAGGGGCGAAAGCGUGGGGAGCGAACGGGAUUAGAUACCCCGGUAGUCCACGCCGUAAACGAUGGAGACUAGGUGUAGGCGGAUAGAACCCCGUCUGUGCCGAAGCCAACGCGUUAAGUCUCCCGCCUGGGGAGUACGGCCGCAAGGUUA